RNAcentral lists this ribosomal RNA (253 nucleotides) under uncultured bacterium. RNAcentral describes it as "partial 16S ribosomal RNA". It matches the Rfam family "Bacterial small subunit ribosomal RNA", at positions 524 to 776 of the family's 1533-position model. The record is from RNAcentral.
UACGUAGGGUGCGAGCGUUAAUCGGAAUUACUGGGCGUAAAGCGUGCGCAGGCGGCUAUGCAAGACAGAUGUGAAAUCCCCGGGCUCAACCUGGGAACUGCAUUUGUGACUGCAUGGCUAGAGUACGGUAGAGGGGGAUGGAAUUCCGCGUGUAGCAGUGAAAUGCGUAGAUAUGCGGAGGAACACCGAUGGCGAAGGCAAUCCCCUGGGCCUGCACUGACGCUCAUGCACGAAAGCGUGGGGAGCAAACAGG